This 179-nucleotide non-coding RNA is filed under the name Chaetura pelagica (chimney swift). Its description in RNAcentral is "Connexin-43 internal ribosome entry site (IRES)". It matches the Rfam family "Connexin-43 internal ribosome entry site (IRES)". From Rfam's summary of the family: This family represents the connexin-43 internal ribosome entry site (IRES) which allows cap independent translation during conditions such as heat shock and stress. The record is from Rfam by way of RNAcentral. Lineage: Eukaryota; Metazoa; Chordata; Aves; Apodiformes; Apodidae.
AGUUUUACGAGGUAUCAGCACUUUUCUUUCAAGGCAGGAUGAAAAAUACAAAGCGCUAGACUUUUAAAGUUUAAAUAGACAGGUCUGAGUGCCUGAACGUGCUCUUCCAUUUUACUUUAACCCUCCAAGAAGUAUUCUGAUCCAGUUUCACUGCUGAUCAGCAAGGGUAAGUUGAAAGU